GCUGUCACCGCAAGGGGGAGUGGCGUGUGAAGGGCACUGCAUGGGUACUGGUCUUCAAUACUACGUUGGUGGCUGCGCCUGAGCAGAGUUGACGGUGCCUGCCGGCAUCUGGGGGAACCUGGAUGUCUUCGGGCAUGAUGUGUGGGGUAUCGCUUCAGGCUGGAAACAGAGCAGAGUUACCUGCCGCCGCUAACGGCUGCCAGAUUACGUGGCC
This 214-nucleotide signal recognition particle RNA is filed under the name Chlamydomonas leiostraca. RNAcentral describes it as "partial Protozoan signal recognition particle RNA". It matches the Rfam family "Protozoan signal recognition particle RNA". The record is from RNAcentral. Lineage: Eukaryota; Viridiplantae; Chlorophyta; Chlorophyceae; Chlamydomonadales; Chlamydomonadaceae.